Molecule: ribosomal RNA, 120 nt
Filed under: uncultured bacterium
Lineage: Bacteria
Description: partial 16S ribosomal RNA
Rfam family: Bacterial small subunit ribosomal RNA
Source: RNAcentral
UCGGCGAAAGAUCGGCCCGCGUUAGAUUAGCUAGUUGGCGGUGUAAUGGACCACCAAGGCUACGAUCUAUAGCUGGUCUGAGAGGAUGAUCAGCCACACUGGGACUGAGACACGGCCCAG